Molecule: ribosomal RNA, 252 nt
Filed under: uncultured prokaryote
Description: partial 16S rRNA
Rfam family: Archaeal small subunit ribosomal RNA
Source: RNAcentral
ACCGGCGGCUCGAGUGGUGGCCACUAUUACUGGGCUUAAAGCGUUCGUAGCUGGGUUGUUAAGUCUCUUGGGAAAUCCACCGGCUUAACCGGUAGGCGACUCAGGGAUACUGGCAGACUAGGGACCGGGAGAGGUGAGGGGUACUCCAGGGGUAGGAGUGAAAUCCUGUAAUCCUUGGGGGACCACCGGUGGCGAAGGCGUCUCACCAGAACGGCUCCGACAGUGAGGGACGAAAGCUGGGGGAGCAAACCG